This 445-nucleotide ribosomal RNA is filed under the name uncultured bacterium. Its description in RNAcentral is "partial 16S ribosomal RNA". It matches the Rfam family "Bacterial small subunit ribosomal RNA", at positions 354 to 796 of the family's 1533-position model. The record is from RNAcentral.
GUGAGGAAUAUUGGUCAAUGGGCGAGAGCCUGAACCAGCCAAGUCGCGUGAAGGAAGAAGGAUCUAUGGUUCGUAGACUUCUUUUGCAGGGGAAUAAAGUGCGGGAAGUGUCCUGUUUUGUAUGUACCCUGAGAAUAAGGAUCGGCUAACUCCGUGCCAGCAGCCGCGGUAAUACGGAGGAUCCGAGCGUUAUCCGGAUUUAUUGGGUUUAAAGGGUGCGUAGGUGGUUUGAUAAGUCAGCGGUGAAAGUUUGCAGCUUAACUGUAAAAAUGCCGUUGAAACUGUCGGACUUGAGUGUAAAAGAGGUAGGCGGAAUGCGUGGUGUAGCGGUGAAAUGCAUAGAUAUCACGCAGAACUCCGAUUGCGAAGGCAGCUUACUAAGCUACAACUGACACUGAAGCACGAAAGCGUGGGGAUCAAACAGGAUUAGAUACCCUAGUAGUCC